RNAcentral lists this ribosomal RNA (774 nucleotides) under uncultured Neocallimastigales. RNAcentral's name for it is "partial large subunit ribosomal RNA". It matches the Rfam family "Eukaryotic large subunit ribosomal RNA", at positions 24 to 642 of the family's 3401-position model. The record is from RNAcentral. Lineage: Eukaryota; Fungi; Neocallimastigomycota; Neocallimastigomycetes; Neocallimastigales.
UAUCUCUGUAGAGUCUGCAUAUCAAUAAGCGGAGGAAAAGAAACUAACAAGGAUUCCCCUAGUAACGGCGAGUGAAGCGGGAAGAGCUCAAAUUUGAAAUCUUCAAGGUUUGACCUUGACGAAUUGUAGUUUAAAGAAGUGUUUUCGGUUAGAGGAGUAGUAAAAGUUCCUUGGAAUAGGACAUCAUAGAGGGUGAGUAUCCCGUAUUUGACUAUUCUUUCUAGCUUUGUGAUACACUUUCAAAGAGUCGGAUUGUUUGGGAAUGCAGUCCAAAAUGGGUGGUAAAUUUCAUCUAAAGCUAAAUAUUGGCGAGAGACCGAUAGCGAACAAGUACCGUGAGGGAAAGAUGAAAAGAACUUUGAAAAGAGAGUUAAACAGUACGUGAAAUUGUCAAAAGGGAAGCGUUUGACACCAGUGUUGUUUGUCCGAAAAUCAAUUAAAAAUUGAUUCAUGCCAGGUUGUAUUGACCUUAUCAGCUUGCAAUUUGGUUUUGGGUCUCUUUUUGAUGCACUUUUCGGUUAACAAGUCAACAUCAAUUUCCUUUGCUGUAAAAAGGUAAGAGGAAGGUGGCUUCAAUUUCGGUUGAAGUGUUUAUAGCCUUUUAUCUCUGCAGUCGGGGAGAUUGAGGUCUGCAGCGUAGAUCCUUCGGGGCUAGAUACAUUUAUGCUAAGUUAUAGCUUUUCAUAGACAACUUGUUGACUAUGUUUAGUCAUGUAGCUUACUCGUAAGUGCUAUUUUACCUACGCUUAGGAUGUUGAGCGCAUGUCUCUCUCU